CCGUGCUAGGUGGGGCGCUAGCGGUGCCCUGACUCCCGAAAGGGAUGACCCGUAAUCCGCUAUAGCGGGGCUGAACGCCCUGUUGAGAGCCGUUUGCGGCAGAAAAGCCCAUUCGGUGGACGGUGAUGAAAGUUGGGUCCUCUGCAACGUUGCGCCGUGAACCUGGUCAGGUCCGGAAGGAAGCAGCCAUAAGCGAGUUUGCAGCGUGUGCCGGAGGGUCGCCUGACUGGAGCCGUUAGCCAGAGUGUGCCCUGCCGUUGCGAAUCGAGACAGGGAUGCACGG
Molecule: signal recognition particle RNA, 283 nt
Filed under: Planctomycetota bacterium
Lineage: Bacteria; Pseudomonadati; Planctomycetota
Description: Planctomycetes bacterium (anaerobic digester metagenome) signal recognition particle sRNA large type
Rfam family: Bacterial large signal recognition particle RNA
About the family: The signal recognition particle (SRP) is a universally conserved ribonucleoprotein involved in the co-translational targeting of proteins to membranes. Archaeal SRP consists of a 7S RNA and homologues of the eukaryotic SRP19 and SRP54 proteins.
Source: RNAcentral